GGGGAUUUAGCUCAGUGGUAGAGCGCUUGCCUAGCAAACAUAAGGCCCUGGGUUCGGUCCCCAGCUCUG
This 69-nucleotide transfer RNA is filed under the name Rattus norvegicus (Norway rat). It matches the Rfam family "tRNA". Rfam says of the family: Transfer RNA (tRNA) molecules are approximately 80 nucleotides in length. The record is from Rfam by way of RNAcentral. Lineage: Eukaryota; Metazoa; Chordata; Mammalia; Rodentia; Muridae.